RNAcentral lists this ribosomal RNA (801 nucleotides) under uncultured bacterium. Its description in RNAcentral is "bacterial SSU rRNA". It matches the Rfam family "Bacterial small subunit ribosomal RNA", at positions 68 to 866 of the family's 1533-position model. The record is from RNAcentral.
GCGAAAGCGGGGCAACCCGCAAGUAGAGUGGCGAACGGGUGAGUAAUACAUCGGAACAUAUCCAGUAGCGGGGGAUAACCUGUCGAAAGAUAGGCUAAUACCGCAUACGAUCUACGGAUGAAAGCGGGGGACCGCAAGGCCUCGCACUAUUGGAGUGGCCGAUGUCAGAUUAGCUAGUUGGUGGGGUAAAAGCCUACCAAGGCGACGAUCCGUAGCUGGUCUGAGAGGACGAUCAGCCACACUGGAACUGAGACACGGUCCAGACUCCUACGGGAGGCAGCAGUGGGGAAUUUUGGACAAUGGGCGCAAGCCUGAUCCAGCCAUGCCGCGUGAGUGAAGAAGGCCUUCGGGUUGUAAAGCUCUUUCGGUGGAGACGAAACGGUUCGUGUUAAUAACACGGACUACUGACGGUACCCACAGAAGAAGCACCGGCUAACUACGUGCCAGCAGCCGCGGUAAUACGUAGGGUGCAGGCGUUAAUCGGAAUUACUGGGCGUAAAGCGUGCGCAGGCGGUCUGUUAAGACAGGUGUGAAAUCCCCGAGCUCAACUUGGGAAUUGCGCUUGUUACUGGCAGGCUAGAGUGUAGCAGAGGGGGGUGGAAUUCCACGUGUAGCAGUGAAAUGCGUAGAUAUGUGGAGGAACACCGAUGGCGAAGGCAGCCCCCUGGGUUAACACUGACGCUCAGGCACGAAAGCGUGGGGAGCAAACAGGAUUAGAUACCCUGGUAGUCCACGCCCUAAACUAUGUCAACUAGUUGUCGGGGAAGAAAUUCCUUGGUAACGAAGCUAACGCGUGAAGUU